Hyla sarda is the source of this 451-nucleotide long non-coding RNA. RefSeq lists it as uncharacterized. The transcript has 4 exons. The record is from RefSeq and is a predicted model, not a curated record. NCBI's taxonomy places the organism in Eukaryota, Metazoa, Chordata, Amphibia, Anura, Hylidae.
GGGAACAGGCCUCACCUCUUGCUGUAUCCAGCCGCCCGAACCACCGGACCGCCGCCGCUGCUGCCACCACUCCUGAGGGGACCCUUGCUGGGCCAGGCAAAGAGUGCACGUGUGGGGACCCCCGUGCCUGUGAAAGAACAGUGACUAGACCAUGGAACAAUAACACCUAGCACAGAAAUCUAUUGUGCUUGACCCAGAAAAACUUGAAGAAAAAAAAGGGAUACAGUAUUGUACAUAGGUUAAGAAGACAAUUACAGACAUGUCGAGGGUGUGAUACAGCUGACUCAACUUUAAUAGUGAACAAGCUGAAUAACUUACAAAAUACAUUUUUUCUUGACAUGAUCCAUAAUGAUGGCUGCAGAAGUGAAGCUGGAUGUAAUGAGUCGCUUAGUGAAGAUUAGCUGCUCGCUGCCUUUACUACACAGACAACUAAACAGACAAGAAGGAAGUU